Molecule: ribosomal RNA, 241 nt
Filed under: Nostoc sp. 3335mG
Lineage: Bacteria; Bacillati; Cyanobacteriota; Cyanophyceae; Nostocales; Nostocaceae
Description: partial 23S ribosomal RNA
Rfam family: Bacterial large subunit ribosomal RNA
Source: RNAcentral
AGUUGUGUUUAGGGGUGAAAGGCCAAUCAAGCCGGGAAAUAGCUGGUUCUCCGCGAAAACUAUUGAGGUAGUGCCUCGGAUGGACACCUUAUGGGGUAGAGCACUGGAUGGUUGCGGGGGUCGCGAGAUCUACCAAUACUAACCAAACUCCGAAUACAUAAGAGUGAUAUCCGGGAGACAGACGGCGGGUGCUAAGGUCCGUCGUCAAAAGGGAAACAGCCCUGACCUACAGCUAAGGUCC